Molecule: ribosomal RNA, 476 nt
Filed under: uncultured bacterium
Lineage: Bacteria
Description: bacterial SSU rRNA
Rfam family: Bacterial small subunit ribosomal RNA
Source: RNAcentral
UCAGUCGACUCCUACGGGGAGGCAGCAGUGGGGAAUAUUGCACAAUGGGGGAAACCCUGAUGCAGGCCAUGCCGCGUGUGUGAAGAAGGCCUUCGGGUUGUAAAGCACUUUCAGUAGGGAGGAAGGUAGUGUAGUUAACACCUGCACUAUUUGACGUUACCUACAGAAGAAGCACCGGCUAACUCCGUGCCAGCAGCCGCGGUAAUACGGAGGGUGCGAGCGUUAAUCGGAAUUACUGGGCGUAAAGCGCAUGCAGGCGGCCUGUUAAGUCAGAUGUGAAAGCCCGGGGCUUAACCUCGGAAUUGCAUUUGAAACUGGCAGGCUAGAGUCUUGUAGAGGGGGGUAGGAAUUUCAGGUGUAGCGGUGAAAUGCGUAGAGAUCUGAAGGAAUACCAGUGGCGAAGGCGGCCCCCUGGACAAAGACUGACGCUCAGAUGCGAAAGCGUGGGGAGCAAACAGGAUUAGAUACCCUGGUAG